RNAcentral lists this ribosomal RNA (372 nucleotides) under Triticum aestivum (bread wheat). Its description in RNAcentral is "partial small subunit ribosomal RNA". The record is from RNAcentral. Lineage: Eukaryota; Viridiplantae; Streptophyta; Magnoliopsida; Poales; Poaceae.
AUGCCGGCUGCUUCCAGCGCCUCCGGCGCAGCGCGGCACGCCCCAAGCUUCCCACGGUCCGCGCCUCCCUCCCCUCCAUCCAGACUCUCUGCUCCCGGCCUCUACAGCCCGCUCGCAACCACACACCCAUGGCUAGGGUUUCGGGCAUGGCUUCGCCGGCGCGUCUCCGGUGGUCCCAGGUUCGUCCUUCCUUCCUUCUUGGCCGAGAUUCGCUGCCCCUACACCUCACCUUCUCUUCAUAUCCUCUGCUGGAGAUGCAGUUGGGCACGCCAUGGGAGUUCCCCAUCCACCACGGUCGCCGCCGUCAAGGACGCAAUGGACAUGCAGCUCCUCAAGGUUUUAUCCCUCCUUUCCUCCAAUAUCAAGUUCUAA